This 62-nucleotide transfer RNA is filed under the name Hylastes ater. Its description in RNAcentral is "tRNA-Asn". The record is from RNAcentral. Lineage: Eukaryota; Metazoa; Arthropoda; Insecta; Coleoptera; Curculionidae.
UUAAUUAAAACCAAAUGAGGUAUUCCACUGUUAAUGGAAUUAUUGAGCUAGCUCUAAUUAAA